UAUUGGGAUGGGACUAAGACAUGUUAGUCGAGCGUCUCUAAGCUAUGAUGGAGACGCGGCGCACAGCUCAGUAACACGUGGCUAACCUGCCCUUGGGACAGGGAUAACCCCGGGAAACUGGGGCUAAUACUUGAUAGGUGAGAACUCCUGGAAUGGAUUCUCGCUGAAAGGGCGUCUAGAUCAUGCUUUUAGGCGUCGCCCAAGGAGGGGGCCGCGGCCGAUCAGGUUGUUGGUAAGGUAACGGCUCACCAAGCCUUUGACCGGUACGGGCCGUGAGAGCGGUAGCCCGGAGAUGGGUACUGAGACAAGGGCCCAGGCCCUACGGGGCGCAGCAGUCGCGAAAACUCACCAAUUCACGAAAGUGUGAGUGGGCCAUCCCGAGUGCCAUCCGCUGAGGAUGGCUUUUCCUUAGUGUACAAAGCUGGGGGAAUAAGGAGAGGGCAAGUCUGGUGUCAGCCGCCGCGGUAAUACCAGCUCUCCGAGUGGUGGGGAUGUUUAUUGGGCCUAAAGCAUUCGUAGCCUGCUGGGCAAGUCCUCCGUUAAAUCCAACGACUCAAUCGUUGGGCCGCGGGGGAUACUGUUCGGCUAGGGGGCGGAAGAGGUCGACGGUAUUCUCGGGGUAGGGGUGAAAUCCUAUAAUCCCGGGAGGACCACCAGUGGCGAAGGCUGUCGGCUAGAACGCGCCCGACGGUGAGGGAUGAAAGCUUGGGGAGCGAACCGGAUUAGAUACCCGGGUAGUCCCAGCCGUAAACGAUGCAGGCUAGGUGUUGGCGCGGCUACGUGCCGCUCCAGUGCCGCAGGGAAGCCGUUAAGCCUGCCGCCUGGGAAGUACGGCCGCAAGGCUGAAACUUAAAGGAAUUGGCGGGGGAGCACCACAAGGGGUGAAGCUUGCGGUUUAAUUGGAGUCAACGCCGGA
This 916-nucleotide ribosomal RNA is filed under the name uncultured archaeon. Its description in RNAcentral is "bacterial SSU rRNA". It matches the Rfam family "Archaeal small subunit ribosomal RNA", at positions 31 to 922 of the family's 1478-position model. The record is from RNAcentral.